UUCAAACUUGGGUCCCACGUUUCUUCCUUUUUGAAUUCUCUCUACAAACCCAUCACCAUUUUCUUGAUUCUCUCACCACCGCGCCACUCCCUGCAAAUACGGCAACGGGACCCACCGCCAAUUCCGCCGGAAAAGUACCACAUUACAUAACCAUUAUCUAAUGGGAGGGAGUGAAGACGAGUCAAUUUCUGACCUGAAGCAAGAAAUUACCCAUAAAUUUACAGAUUUCAUGACAGGGAUCGCAAAAAUUGAUGAGUUGGGAACUGCUGGAAGCAGGCUGCUGUCUGGAUUUCAACAAGCACUUGAGUUCAUUCGGAGGCCUGCUAUAGAUACAAAUUCUAAUUUAGUCAACAAAAUAAUUGCAGCUAAUGAAACUAAGAGAGUUAAAUCCUAUGUCAAUUCUGGGUGUAGGAAUCCCAAUGAUGGUGUCCAGAAUGUAACCAAUUGUAAGCAAAACUAUUCUCUCUCUCUCUAUCAAAAUUUUUCUUUCUUUUUUGGUUAAGUUUAAGAGGAGGAUAGUGUGUGAUGUGCCAUUCCAAAGUUAUGUUAUGCCAAAGCCCACCUGAGGAAUUCAGGGUGAUACCUACCAAUGAAGAACUAUCAAUGGACAACUCCUUUUAACAUUCUAAGUUAUGUCUGAUAUAUUUUUUAAAGUAAACAAACAAGUCAGAAAGGUUGUUGCUUUGUGACUUGAGGUCAUACAGGUUUUCCGCUUGUGGAGGUAAGACUUUGUAUGUCUACCCUCUCCAGACCUCAUUACGUGGGAGCCUCGUGCAUCGGGCCAACCUUUUUUUAAACAAACAAGUUUUCUGCAAGACUUAACAAUUCACUGUUCUUCUUCUUUCAAAUAAAAAAGUGAUUUCUUUUUGUGUGUACUUUAAGUUAAUAUUGGAUUCCGUAAAGCUAUGAUUAUAUCAUAAUUUCUCACAAAAUUGUGCAGUCUUACCAAGUUACUCUAACUUCUUUUUCACAAAUUUUGUUCUCAACAAAAGAUCCUACAUGUUUUUCAUGGCCUGUUUUGUGAAGCAACACCCUCAUGGUCUCUUUAUUUGGGAAACUAGAAUUGUACAGACAAGUUUUAGAAGCGUAUAGCUUUUGUAUAAGUCGAAGUAAGGCGAAAUAUAUGCGGUAAGUUUAGCAAGAGGCAAAAAGAUUGGGGAUCAUACCAUAUCACAAGUCACUAGAUUAGGUAUCUUGGGUGAAUCAAAGAAGACGAUAGGAAAUUGAUGGACAUGUAAAUCAUAGGGUUGAAGUGGGUUGGAUGAAAUGGCGUAGUGCUUCAAGUUUCAUAUGUAAUAAAAAUGUACCACUAAAGCUUAAGGGUGAGUUUUAUCACAUGACUAUAAGACCUACAAUGUUAUAUGGGAUGAAUUGUUGGGCACUAAAAUGCCAACAAGAGAAUAAACUCCAUUUAUCAGAGAUGAGAGUGUUCGUUGGAUUAGUGGACACACUAGACAAGAUAUGAUUAUUUUCUUCACUUGUAUUAGUCAGUUCACCAAAUGUCUACCAUUAACACAUUUUUUGUUGAAGUCACUAGAACUAGACAUAUCUAGUGCCUUUUGUUUAUUGGAUAAAGGACUCCUGCUUGAAACAGCACUAUAAGAUCAUCCGUUAUUAAUUCUUAAUUAAAUUCUUUUUGCUAAAAUCUAUUGCAUUUAUUUGCCCUGACUAUUUAACUGUUUCAAUAUGGCAAAAUCUACAUAUGGAAGUGCACUCAUGCAAGAAUGGACUUCUUAUCCAUAUAAGCGAAGCCAAGCUAAUACUUAAUAAACUUGAAGGUAUAUUGGGUGAUGUAACAAGUGCCAUACAGCGUACGCAUGGAAAAUUGUUAGCCCUCUCGGAUCAUGACAUUGGUGUUGAAUUUAAUGAGGUGGAGACCUAUACUGAUUUGGACGAAAAUGGCGCUUUGUCACCAACUACUGAUGUCACAACUACCAAAAAACAGAAAAAUACUGAUGUCAUACAUUUAGCUACCUUGAUGGCUAUCUUGUACAGUAUGGUCAAACAAGACUAUUUGAUGCAGGAAAAAGUUGUUUCUGCAUUAGAUCUCAAGUUGUCAUCAGGAGAACUGGAAAGUUAUUGCCAAAUGUGGUCUCUGCGUCCCUUCAUAAAUGAUGAAACAAUGCAUCAAGCUUGGGAACUUAUUCGGUGAACAGUAAUUUGUUUCUUACUUCAUAGAAUCAUUUACCAAACAUUUCUUCUGAAUCUAAGUUAAUUUUAUGUUCUGCCUUCUUGAGUAUUGGAAAAAAGUGAAACAUUUUCGGAUAAGAUUCCUUCAUCCAAAUUCUCUUGCACCUACUGGCAAGAAUCACACUCUACGCAACGUACUUCUAGUUCCUGAAAAUAGUUCUCUUAUUACUUAAGAGUGAGUCUGAAUCUAAAAGUACCCACUUAAUAGAAUGAAGAAAUACUUAAGUAAAGAGACUUUGUGAGGAUGAACUCUUUGAACUUGAUUUGGUAUCUAUUUUGAAGAGAGUUGGGUGAGAUCAUUGAUGGCUAAUUGAGUAAAGAGUACUGAGUCUGACUAAAAAUUGCUUAUGUCUCGGAUUUAGAGAGGCCAAGGUGCAAGAAUACUGACUCGGCACUCGAGUGCCGAGGUUCAAAUAUACUGACUUGAGUGUGGAAGCGAAGAUGCAAAAGAAUGCUCGGUUAAUAUUGAGAUGUAAAGAGUACAUGUAGCCUUAAGGGAAUACUUAUACAUUUUAAAUAGACUAGUGGUCGUUAUUAAGGUUUGGAUGUAAUUUAUGGUAUGGUAAUUUUUUUUGUGAGAUCUUCAAUUUUAAGCUCAUUCUAAUUUGUCUUAUUCAACUUGUGGUUCAAAAGAUUCAC
RNAcentral lists this long non-coding RNA (2829 nucleotides) under Lupinus mutabilis. RNAcentral's name for it is "partial ncRNA". Lineage: Eukaryota; Viridiplantae; Streptophyta; Magnoliopsida; Fabales; Fabaceae. The record is from RNAcentral.